GGUGAGAUGGCCGAGCGGUCUAAGGCGCUAGCUUCAGGAGAUCUUUGAGAUCUACUACCUGCUAGUAGAGCAAUCUGCGUGGGUUCGAAUCCCACUCUCAUCA
Non-coding RNA from Delphinella strobiligena, 103 nucleotides. The record is from the annotation of a GenBank genome assembly. Lineage: Eukaryota; Fungi; Ascomycota; Dothideomycetes; Dothideales; Dothioraceae.